GUGCUCGCCUCAGCAGCACAUACACUAAAACUGGAAGGAUAAAAAGAAGAUUAGCAUGGCUCCUGCAAAAGGACGACACACAAAUUUGUGAAGUGUUCCAUAUUUUU
Ailuropoda melanoleuca (giant panda) is the source of this 107-nucleotide small nuclear RNA. Lineage: Eukaryota; Metazoa; Chordata; Mammalia; Carnivora; Ursidae. The record is from Ensembl.